GACGAACGCUGGCGGCGUGCUUAACACAUGCAAGUCGAACGAGAUCCAUUCAGUAGCAAUACUGAUGAAGAUCUAGUGGCGAACGGGUGCGUAACACGUGAGGAACCUGUCCCGGUCUCUGGGAUAACAGUUGGAAACGACUGCUAAUACCGGAUGACGUCGGAACUUCGCAUGGAGUACUGACGAAAGGGUUACUGGAUCGGGAGAGCCUCGCGGCCUAUCAGCUUGUUGGUGGGGUAAUGGCCUACCAAGGCAUCGACGGGUAGCUGGUCUGAGAGGAUGAUCAGCCACACUGGGACUGAGACACGGCCCAGACUCCUACGGGAGGCAGCAGUGGGGAAUCUUGCACAAUGGGCGAAAGCCUGAUGCAGCAACGCCGCGUGCGGGAAGAAGGCCCUCGGGUUGUAAACCGCUUUCAGAAGGAACGAAACUGACGGUACUUUCAGAAGAAGGUGCGGCCAACUACGUGCCAGCAGCCGCGGUGACACGUAGGCACCAAGCGUUGUCCGGAUUUAUUGGGCGUAAAGAGCUCGUAGGCGGUUCAGUAAGUCGGGUGUGAAAACUUUGGGCUUAACCCAAAGCGUGCAUCCGAUACUGCUGUGACUUGAGUUCGGUAGGGGAGCGGG
Molecule: ribosomal RNA, 626 nt
Filed under: uncultured bacterium
Lineage: Bacteria
Description: bacterial SSU rRNA
Rfam family: Bacterial small subunit ribosomal RNA
Source: RNAcentral